Molecule: ribosomal RNA, 237 nt
Filed under: uncultured bacterium
Lineage: Bacteria
Description: partial 16S ribosomal RNA
Rfam family: Bacterial small subunit ribosomal RNA
Source: RNAcentral
CGGAACGGGUGAGUAACGCGUGAGGAACCUGCCUCAAAGAGGGGGACAACAGUUGGAAACGACUGCUAAUACCGCAUAAGCCCACGGCUCGGCAUCGAGCAGAGGGAAAAGGAGCAAUCCGCUUUGAGAUGGCCUCGCGUCCGAUUAGCUAGUUGGUGAGGUAACGGCCCACCAAGGCGACGAUCGGUAGCCGGACUGAGAGGUUGAACGGCCACAUUGGGACUGAGACACGCCCAG